GACGAACGCUGGCGGCGUGCUUAACACAUGCAAGUCGAACGGUGAAGCGCCUUCCUUUUUGGUGGGUGUGGAUGAGCGGCGAACGGGUGAGUAACACGUGAGUAACCUGCCCCCUUCUUCUGGAUAACCGCAUGAAAGUGUGGCUAAUACGGGAUUUUCUGGGUCUGUCGCAUGAUGGGUCUGGGAAAGAUAUUGUUUCGGUGGGGGAUGGGCUCGCGGCCUAUCAGCUUGUUGGUGGGGUGAUGGCCUACCAAGGCGGUGACGGGUAGCCGGCCUGAGAGGGUGGACGGUCACACUGGGACUGAGACACGGCCCAGACUCCUACGGGAGGCAGCAGUGGGGAAUAUUGCACAAUGGGCGCAAGCCUGAUGCAGCGACGCCGCGUGAGGGAUGGAGGCCUUCGGGUUGUGAACCUCUUUCGCCAGUGAAGCAGGCCUGCCUCGUUUGUGGGUGGGUUGACGGUAGCUGGAUAAGAAGCGCCGGCUAACUACGUG
Molecule: ribosomal RNA, 494 nt
Filed under: uncultured bacterium
Lineage: Bacteria
Description: partial 16S ribosomal RNA
Rfam family: Bacterial small subunit ribosomal RNA
Source: RNAcentral